UGAAACCGUUUAGGGGUAAACCUGAGAAACCCGAAAGGUCGAAGGAAGAAAUUCAUUCGUGCCCGAUAAGGUUAUUAUGCGGUAUUUUUGGUGUCGAUUAAUGAAUUCGCGUUCAUUUUUCGCCCUGCCGUAUGAUAUGUGUACCUUGUUGGACGCGUGCACUUUUCUUCUGGUAGGACGUUGCGAUCUGUUGAGUGUUGAUCUACGAUUCGGGUGGUAGCCCAUUUAUAUUGUACACCCCCGGGUAUAUAAUAUAAAUGGACCCCUAUAAUCUGAUCAACUGGCUCGACGGUAUCAAUUGAAUGAUUUUAGGCCGCUCUUGAAGCGUUCGGCUUGUGGCAAGCACGUUAAAUGUAUUGGUACAUCGGACCUAGUGCCGUGUCUGAUCUUUAACGUCUGUUGGCUACUUUGUCUCGAACAGACCUACUAAUUUAAAAAGAAAUCAAUCUGCAACGAUAUAGCUUUGGGUAAUUUCAGGACCCGUCUUGAAACACGGACCAAGGAGUCUAGCAUGUACGCAAGUCAUUGGGAAUGAAUAAACCUAAAGGCGUAAUGAAAGUAAACGUUUGUCUUUAUGAUAAACGAUGGGAAGAUGGGCGUUUUAACUUAAUCGGUUGACGUUCAGCAUUCCCGGGGCGUCUCAUUCUCAUUACGAGAAGAGGCGCACCAUGAGCGUACACGCUGGGACCCGAAAGAUGGUGAACUAUGCCUGGUCAGGACGAA
RNAcentral lists this ribosomal RNA (723 nucleotides) under Cryphalus sp. UFIFAS UFFE 13968. RNAcentral describes it as "partial large subunit ribosomal RNA". It matches the Rfam family "Eukaryotic large subunit ribosomal RNA", at positions 400 to 850 of the family's 3401-position model. Lineage: Eukaryota; Metazoa; Arthropoda; Insecta; Coleoptera; Curculionidae. The record is from RNAcentral.